CGGUCCUUGCGGCCGUCCGAGUUGUAAUCUAGAGAAGCGUUUUCCGCGCUGGACCGUGUACAAGUCUCCUGGAAGGAAGCGUCGUAGAGGGUGAAAAUCCGUCUUUGACACGGACUACCAGGGCUAUGUGAUGCGCUCUCGACGAGUCGAGUUGUUUGGGAAUGCAGCUCAAAUCGGGUGGUAAAUUCCAUCUAAAGCUAAAUACAGGCGAGAGACCGAUAGCGAACAAGUACCGUGAGGGAAAGAUGAAAAGAACUUUGGAAAGAGAGUUAAACAGUACGUGAAAUUGCUGAAAGGGAAACGCUUGAUGUCAGUCGCGUCGGCCGGGGAUCAACCUUGCUUGAUUGCUCGGUGUACUUCCUGGUCGACGGGUCAGCAUCAGUUUCGAUCGCCGUACAAGGGCGGAGGGAAUGUGGCACUCUUCGCGGAGUGUGUUAUAGCCUUUCGUCGUAUGCGGUGCUUGGGACUGAGGAACUCAGCACGACCUCUCGGGGUUCGGGGCUUCGGCCUACGUUCACGUGCUUAGGAUGCUGGCAUAAUGGCCUUAAGCGACCCGUCUU
Molecule: ribosomal RNA, 560 nt
Filed under: Alpova diplophloeus
Lineage: Eukaryota; Fungi; Basidiomycota; Agaricomycetes; Boletales; Melanogastraceae
Description: eukaryotic LSU rRNA
Rfam family: Eukaryotic large subunit ribosomal RNA
Source: RNAcentral